GAUGAAGAACGCAGCAAAAUGCGAUAAGUAAUGUGAAUUGCAGAAUUCAGUGAAUCAUCGAAUCUUUGAACGCACCUUGCACCCUUUGGCAUUCUGAAGGGUAUGCUCGUUUGAGUGUCAUUGUACUCUCACACUCCCGAUCUUUGCAUUGGGAGCAGUGGACUUGGGUUUGCUGCUUCACCGUCGCUUACCUCAAAUAGGUUAGUGCAACUCUUGGUUGGACAUAGUACGGCGUGAUAAGUGUUCUUCGCCGGUGCCUCGCAAAGAGGGUGGCCGAUCGGGAUGUUGUGCUCCAAACCGUCUUCGGACAAUCUCUGACGACUUGACCUCAAAUCGAGUAAGACUACCCGCUGAACUUAAGCAUAUCAAUAAGCGGAGGA
RNAcentral lists this unclassified non-coding RNA (380 nucleotides) under soil metagenome. RNAcentral's name for it is "partial contains 5.8S ribosomal RNA, internal transcribed spacer 2, and large subunit ribosomal RNA". The stretch from base 1 to 120 matches the Rfam family "5.8S ribosomal RNA", at positions 35 to 154 of the family's 154-position model. The record is from RNAcentral.